This 115-nucleotide ribosomal RNA is filed under the name Nanobdellota archaeon. RNAcentral also lists the same sequence under 1 other name. The record is from RNAcentral. Lineage: Archaea; Nanobdellati; Nanobdellota.
GAAGACGGCCAUAAUAGGUUGGAAAUACCUGUUCCCAUCCCGAACACAGAAGUUAAGCUUCCUAUGUUAAUGACUGUAGUGCCCGACAAGGUGCAAACUCAUUAAGCUGUCUUUC